AGCCUGUGGGUACCGAGGCAUGCUUGACAC
This 30-nucleotide non-coding RNA is filed under the name Cricetulus griseus (Chinese hamster). Lineage: Eukaryota; Metazoa; Chordata; Mammalia; Rodentia; Cricetidae. The record is from RNAcentral.